UACGGGGGGGGCAAGCGUUGUUCGGACUUACUGGGCGUAAAGGGCUUGUAGGCGGCCACCUAAGUCAGACGUGAAAUCCCUCGGCUUAACCGGGGAACUGCGUCUGAUACUGGAUGGCUUGAGAUUGGGAGAGGGAUGCGGAAUUCCAGGUGUAGCGGUGAAAUGCGUAGAUAUCUGGAGGAACACCGGUGGCGAAGGCGGCAUCCUGGACCAACACUGACGCUGAGGAGCGAAAGCCAGGGGAGCAAACGGG
This 253-nucleotide ribosomal RNA is filed under the name uncultured bacterium. RNAcentral describes it as "partial 16S ribosomal RNA". It matches the Rfam family "Bacterial small subunit ribosomal RNA", at positions 524 to 776 of the family's 1533-position model. The record is from RNAcentral.